GCCCCAGUGGCCUAAUGGAUAAGGCACUGGCCUCCUAAGCCAAGGAUUGUGGGUUCAAGUCCCAUCUGGGGUG
This 73-nucleotide transfer RNA is filed under the name Nothobranchius furzeri (turquoise killifish). RNAcentral's name for it is "tRNA-Arg (CCT) (tRNA-Arg-CCT-2-1)". It matches the Rfam family "tRNA". From Rfam's summary of the family: Transfer RNA (tRNA) molecules are approximately 80 nucleotides in length. Lineage: Eukaryota; Metazoa; Chordata; Actinopteri; Cyprinodontiformes; Nothobranchiidae. The record is from Rfam by way of RNAcentral.